GCGACGCAAGGGCCGCUUGGUCCCUCGCUGCCGCCACCGCGUCAAACUCUCGCAAACACGCACCCGAGCUUCUCGUGUCACCAAAUGCGUGCGGCGGCUGCGGAAUCUGCUCCCGACGCGCUCGCCUUAUCGCCCGAGGGCCGUAUCCCGGUAUUUGGGGAGGAUUCAAAGGAACAUUUAUUCUUCAACACCGUCACGUCUUUUCCCGAGGGUGUCGCGGCCUUGGACCUGGGCCGGCUCGGGGGGCAGGAGGUUUUUUUUUCUUCGAAGGCUCCCUUUAACCCCUCCGUGGACGGUGAUUCAUAUUGUCAACCCUUCUGGAGUGGACACUGAGUUUGCGUCCAAACUUCCAGUGGCUGUACAAAGUCAUAAAUCAUCGGACGGCGUCCCCGAGGUGACUGUCAGUGUCCACGUAGGAAUAGUGAUUCCUUCUCCCUAAGUGAAAAAGCAAACGGCCAGCAGACGGAAAGGAUAAAUCACUCCUUCAGGCGAAGACAGACCCGGGAGGGAUCGAAACAAACAGGCCGUCGGUCCGGACCGGCCUCGGCUUGUUUAAGCCAUUACCAUUUGCGACACCACCAAACGUGACAACGGCGGCAAAAAUCUCCAAAGUGCCAGGCGGGAAGACUGGCCGAUAUGACACAAGUGGAGCACGUUGUGAGAGUUCUGCCCCAACCUUCCAAAAGCGGGCAUGGUAGCUUCAUGAAGCCUCCACCAAUUGUCCAAAUGGCUGCACCAAAGUCAGCCAGGGCAAGAGUUGGAAUGUCACUGGCGGAUGCAGUCCUCCAGAGUCCCGCCGUCAAAACAGAUGUCGCUGCGCUCAGGCCGUCAUAAACGGCAAAGGACGCCUCAACCUGGCUCGGGACCGACGCACGAUAUGUCACGCCGACAAAACAUAAAGUUGCCCUGUUAGCGAGAGGUUUUGGACCUUUGGGCUGUGCCGGUCGGUCGGUCGGUCGGUGGUUUGUUUGUUUGUAAGGACAAGGAUCUCUCUCAUUGGGUUUGUUUGCCCGUCAAGUGUUUUAGCAAAUAUAUUCAUCAUCAUAAAAAUUGUAGUUCUCUUGAGAAAGACAGAGGGAAAGGUCUCAGAUGUGCGUUUGGGUUUGGCUCUUCUGACUGCACAAAAAUAGGCCAUGCAGUCUUUUCAAGUUUCCAGCGAGACGGGCUGGGCCAGGCCGGGCCAGGCCGGGCCGGGCCCCGUUUCUGCCGGUCGUCAGUCAGUCACCCCCAUUAGCGAUAAUGACACGGACCGACCAAAAUCCAUUUCAAUCAGAACCCAGGUCUGAAGUGGUGGCCAUAUUGGAUGUGGCAAGACCCUCUCGCAUCCGGGCGAGACGAGAAACACCGAGUUUCUGCCUCGGGUUGGGUCGAUAACAACACUAAUACUUGUUUUUCUGUCCUGUGUCAAAUUAGAAGAUGUUUCUUUUCACAUUAGAGAUACUUGAAGACCGUGGUUGAGAAAUAUCUCGCUACGACUCCGCAUCUGUUGCGUCAUUGUCCUCAAUACCCUGUUC
Molecule: long non-coding RNA, 1514 nt
Organism: Syngnathus acus (greater pipefish)
Lineage: Eukaryota; Metazoa; Chordata; Actinopteri; Syngnathiformes; Syngnathidae
Exons: 4
Source: RefSeq, a predicted model, not a curated record